Molecule: non-coding RNA, 1099 nt
Organism: Pimephales promelas (fathead minnow)
Lineage: Eukaryota; Metazoa; Chordata; Actinopteri; Cypriniformes; Leuciscidae
Source: RefSeq, a predicted model, not a curated record
CUCCGCUCAACACUGUGUGCACUGCGAAGCUCAACCCGUUCGGCAGGUCCAACCAUGUUGGACCUGGAUUUUCAAAAACAUAGGGGGGUCAGAGCGCGGCGGCCCCUCCCUAAAUGGUAUAGCCUGUCGGCCAGCCUGUGAUGUAAAAAGUCACCGAACACCUCUUUUCCCGCUUCAUGUUUUGAAAGUUUAACGGACGGUCGGUGUGAGUGAGUAACUUAGUACUACUGUACUGAGUAAUGAUGGAAGAAAGGCAAAAAAGAAAACUGAAAGGUGGCGCUGAGAAGGUCAGACUCAAAAGAAAAAAAAUGAUGGAGGAGGAGGCAUGGAAAUGCUCCAAAAUUACAGACAUGUUCCGGGCAACAACGAGCAAAUACACUACAGGUGAAAUAAACUGAGUCUGAAGCACUUGUUGUGGGCGGAGUUCGGGCUGGCAACCAGGCUAGUGCUGCGCCAGACUAAUCUCAAAUAUUGUAAAGAUUCCUUGUAAGGUUUCAUUUUUUUAAAUGAACAACACUACACCUGAGAGAAAGUUUAACAUUUGGAAUACAGCCUCUUUUUGACUGCAUUUAUUCAUGAAACAUGACACUCCAUUUGUAGUCAGAUUGUGCUUGAAGGAGAUCAUUCACUGUAGGCAGGGCAGCAUAUUGGGCCAUGUUGGUCAAUCCUGAUGCUACACAACAGCUCAUACCACUGCGUAAAUUGGCCAUUUCAUCUGCAACAAACCUGUAUAGAAAACAGAUGCAAGGAAUGCAAUGGAAUAUAGCCUGCAUUAGACUUAGAUAUCUGCAGUGUGAAAUGAUCUGUGAGAUUUAGUAUUUGAGGAAGUUACCAUUCAUCUGUCAUCUUAUCAUAGCACUCCACAUCACAGGUGGUGCUUAUUCCAGAGGACUUAUUAACCCUCCGACAGCAAACAACCGACCAUUAACUACCUGGAUUUUGAGGAAGUUAAAAAGGAAAAUACAUAAUGUACAGCUUAAGUCUUUAAAUUUACAUUAAUAAAUCUCAUUAUAGAUGCAACGCUUCAUUUACAAGCGAUACUUCAAGGGAUACUCAUAGUAGGAAAAAAAUAGUAGUAGUAGUAGUAGUUCCAUAGUAG